This 447-nucleotide ribosomal RNA is filed under the name uncultured bacterium. Its description in RNAcentral is "partial 16S ribosomal RNA". It matches the Rfam family "Bacterial small subunit ribosomal RNA", at positions 330 to 792 of the family's 1533-position model. The record is from RNAcentral.
GCCAGACUCCUACGGGAGGCAGCAGUGGGGAAUAUUGCACAAUGGGGGGAACCCUGAUGCAGCGACGCCGCGUGGGCGAGGAAGUAUUUCGGUAUGUAAAGCCCUAUCGGCAGGGAAGAAGAAAUGACGGUACCUGAAUAAGAAGCACCGGCUAAAUACGUGCCAGCAGCCGCGGGAAUACGUAUGGUGCAAGCGUUAUCCGGAUUUACUGGGUGUAAAGGGAGCGCAGGCGGCGCGCCAAGUCUGAUGUGAAACCCCGGGGCUCAACCCCGGGCAUGCAUUGGAAACUGGCGGGCUGGAGUGCCGGAGAGGUGAGCGGAAUUCCUAGUGUAGCGGUGAAAUGCGUAGAUAUUAGGAGGAACACCAGUGGCGAAGGCGGCUUACUGGACGGCAACUGACGCUGAGGCUCGAAAGCGUGGGGAGCAAACAGGAUUAGAUACCCGAGUA